AUGACCCAGCCAGGGCCUUAUAUAGGCCUGUCUGUUAUGACAUCACAAAGGCUUUUCAUGAGCUCAGAGCAAAGCAGGGCCAAUCAUGGCUGGGGAUCUUUCACAGAGGUUUUCUCUCUUUUGGUCCCCAAAACAUCUUUCUCUUUUAAAAAGUUAUGGAUCAACACACCACCUAUAUCUACUGCACACGUCCCUCCCUUUCACAGUGCAUUAACUUCAGAUGUGUGCUCUGCCUCUUUCUGUCUUCCCACCAAAUCAAAAACAACUCAUCCCUAG
This 276-nucleotide long non-coding RNA is filed under the name Callithrix jacchus (white-tufted-ear marmoset). Its description in RNAcentral is "lncRNA (ENSCJAG00000058729.2)". The record is from RNAcentral. Lineage: Eukaryota; Metazoa; Chordata; Mammalia; Primates; Cebidae.